RNAcentral lists this unclassified non-coding RNA (329 nucleotides) under soil metagenome. RNAcentral describes it as "partial contains 5.8S ribosomal RNA, internal transcribed spacer 2, and large subunit ribosomal RNA". The stretch from base 1 to 120 matches the Rfam family "5.8S ribosomal RNA", at positions 35 to 154 of the family's 154-position model. The record is from RNAcentral.
GAUGAAGAACGUAGCGAAAUGCGAUAAGUAGUGUGAAUUGCAGAAUUCAGUGAAUCAUCGGAUCUUUGAACGCACAUUGCGCCCCUUGGUAUCCCGAGGGGCAUGCCUGUUCGAGCGUCAUUUCACCACUCAAGCCUGGCUUGGUGUUGGGCGACGUCCUCUUUGGGGACGCGCCUCGAAACGCUCGGCGGCGUGGCACCGGCUUUAAGCGUAGCAGAAUCUUUCGCUUUGGAAGUCGGGGCCCCGUCUGCCGGAAGACCUGCUCGCAAGGUUGACCUCGGAUCAGGCAGGGAUACCCGCUGAACUUAAGCAUAUCAAUAAGCGGAGGA